GAGGAAGUAUGCAGUGGCUGCAUGUCCCUUUAAAAAAUAGGGAUUCACAGGUUCGAUUCCUGUCAUCCUCA
RNAcentral lists this transfer RNA (71 nucleotides) under Lysinibacillus xylanilyticus. RNAcentral's name for it is "tRNA-Phe". It matches the Rfam family "tRNA". From Rfam's summary of the family: Transfer RNA (tRNA) molecules are approximately 80 nucleotides in length. RNAcentral also lists the same sequence under 1 other name. The record is from RNAcentral. Lineage: Bacteria; Bacillati; Bacillota; Bacilli; Caryophanales; Bacillaceae.